Molecule: ribosomal RNA, 494 nt
Filed under: uncultured bacterium
Lineage: Bacteria
Description: partial 16S ribosomal RNA
Rfam family: Bacterial small subunit ribosomal RNA
Source: RNAcentral
GACGAACGCUGGCGGCGUGCUUAACACAUGCAAGUCGAACGGAAAGGCCUGCUUUCCCUUGUGGAUUGCGGGUACUCGAGUGGCGAACGGGUGAGUAACACGUGAGUGAUCUGCCCCCAACUUGGGUAUAAGCCUGGGAAACUGGGUCUAAUUCCCGGUAGGACUGCAGGGUGGUGCCUGUGGUGGAAAACGAUUUUCUAGUGGUUGGGGAUGAGCGCGCGGCCUAUCAGCUUGUUGGUGGGGUAAUGGCCUACCAAGGCGGCGACGGGUAGCCGGCCUGGGAGGGUGGACGGCCACAUUGGGACUGGGAUACGGCCCAGACGCCUACGGGAGGCAGCAGUGGGGAAUAUUGCACAAUGGGCGGAAGCCUGAUGCAGCGACGCCGCGUGGGGGAUGACGGCCUUCGGGUGGUAAACUCCUUUCGACCGCGAGGAAGCCACCUGGUUGGAAGGGUGGUGACGGUAGUGGUAGAAGAAGCACCGGCUAACUACGUG